UACAGAGGGGGCAAGCGUUAUUCGGAAUUAUUGGGCGUAAAGAGCUCGUAGGCGGUUUGUCGCGUCUGCUGUGAAAACUCGGGGCUUAACCCCGGGCCUGCAGUGGGUACGGGCAGACUAGAGUGCGGUAGGGGAGACUGGAAUUCCUGGUGUAGCGGUGAAAUGCGCAGAUAUCAGGAGGAACACCGGUGGCGAAGGCGGGUCUCUGGGCCGUAACUGACGCUGAGGAGCGAAAGCGUGGGGAGCGAACAGG
RNAcentral lists this ribosomal RNA (253 nucleotides) under uncultured bacterium. RNAcentral's name for it is "partial 16S ribosomal RNA". It matches the Rfam family "Bacterial small subunit ribosomal RNA", at positions 524 to 776 of the family's 1533-position model. The record is from RNAcentral.